GCCGAAGAGUCAAUUAUUUAAUCAUCGAGGGCCAUACAUAUCGGAAGGUUAGUGUCCUGAAACAUAAGAACAUAUCUUACGAAUGUACCACAAAUCGUGUAAACCCAGAGUCACCACGGAUUAUAUUGUAAACAUGUGGCAGAUGUCCGAAAGACAGAGGUUAAAGAACUACGGGUACUGUCAAGAAAAAGUCUGGAGGUGUAUCUUGUGGGUCUUUUUCCAUCUCCCAGUAGUGAGUAGGGGACAACAGUUAUAUACAUGUUAUGAUUGACAAUUCAUUACAUUUGUACAAAUGGCUAAUGGAAGAGGUCUUAAAUGAUAAAUGAAAAAUAACAUGACUUGGAUGGAGAGUUCUCUCAUUUGCACUCAUACCACAUCUUCUUAUAUCUAUUCACCUGUAAUUUACCUGUAAAAAAAAUCGGCGCAAAUGAAAAAAAAAAUCGGCGCAAAUGAAAGAAAAAAUCGGCGCAAAUGAAAUGCAGAUCGGCGCAAAUGCAAAACGCCGA
Molecule: long non-coding RNA, 506 nt
Filed under: Mytilus galloprovincialis (Mediterranean mussel)
Lineage: Eukaryota; Metazoa; Mollusca; Bivalvia; Mytilida; Mytilidae
Source: RNAcentral